GUCGGAGGAGGAGGCGGCCGCAGAGGCAGCCCAGCGGGCAGCGCCUUCCUCCCUGUGGGCCGGGCUCCGAGCCCCCACCCCUGGGCCUCAGCGGCCCAGCGCGAGGCUGUCCCGCCGGAAAUCGAGUCCGAAUUCCAAGUUAUUGUCCUUCCUCGCCUAGGGUCUCGCACUGCUUGCGGCUGCCCUCAGGAACCGCUAGUCGCCGUGGCCUCCGAUGAGACAGUCGACGUAGUGCCCCAUGCCGAGUUUAUGGAAAAACCUAGAGACUGCAAAAACAAAAAACAAAAAACCGUAUUGCCUUGGAGGAGGGACUUUGAAGAACUGGUGAGCCUGGGGAUGAGUCAAGGAGGGAGAAAGAGAGGGUACAGCAGUCUUCUGGAUAGACCUGGAAAAGAAGUAGUGCACAGACCAGGAUCCCUGACUUCCUGGAGUGAGUCUGGAACCCACACUAUCUCUGAGGUGUGACAGCAGUCUUCAGAGGAAGUGAGAAAAGACUUGCUUUGGAUUAGCUUGUAUCAGACCAACUACCAGCUGAAGACAACUACCAAAACUGGAUAAAAGCCAAACCAAACCACAUAUAUAUAUUUGCUUUUUCAGCCCACACCCGUGGCAUAUGGAAGUUCCCAGACUAGGGGUAGAAUUGGAGUUGCCAGCUUACACCACAGCAAUGCAGGAUCCAAGCUGCAUCUGCAACCUACACCACAGCUCAUGGCAAUGCUGGAUCCCCAACUCAAGCAAGGGCAGGGAUUGAAGCUGCAUCCUCAUGGAUACUAGCCAGAUUCACUUCUGCAGUGCCACAAUGGGAACUCCAAAUAUCUCUGCAUAUUUGAAGAAUUGGAAAGGAACUAAUGCAUCCAGGACUUUAUGUGACAAGAUCUUGGGAGAGAAUGGAAAUGCACUGAAGUGAGCUGAACAGUUUAUGCUAAUGUUUCCCCUCUUGGGAAGUGUUCUGAUUUGUAGCAUGGCGCAUAGAGCCUGAGCACCCUUCACUGGCCUCCCACUAUGUUCAGAACCCCUUCUUGGCACAUAUGGUUUCUUCUUGCCUGGACUGACAGCCCUGUUUAAUGCCACCUUUCCUCUUUUAAAUAAUGCUUUAGUCACACUGGCCUUUUAAUUCUUCCUGCUUGAAGCUCACUCAUUCUCCACCCUAUUCCCUCUUCCUGGAUUGAAUUCUUUCACUUCCUUCCUGGUUUAUUCCUUAUACAUUUUCCAGGUAUCACUUCCUCAGAGAACUUCCAUGACAAUCUUUCUAUGUCCUAUCCCACUCUGUCUCUAAAUUAGAGACCACUUUCUCCCCAGCACCUACAUAUAGGACACAGUAAGCACUCAAGAGAUAUUUAUUGAACAAGUGAAUGAAAGACUGUUUGAAGGGAGUGUGGCAUAGUGGAAAGAACUCUGAAUUUUACCUCAGGAGGUUACAUUCUAGCUGGGAUCUAUUUUGGGGUGGUCUUGGGCAAUCAGUCCCAUCAAUGUUUGGAGUCUAUUUAUUUUAUUUCCUUGCUUUUAAAGUGCAGAUACCCUACUAAGUUUUAAAGUGCAGAUACCCUACUAAGUUCAUAUGGUUAUUGCAAACAUAAAAUAAUAUUUGUAAAAUGCUACUGCAAGUGUUAGUGUACUACUCACAGACUCAAAAGGAAAUCACAUAUAUUCCAACAGCAAAAUAUCUUUUAAAUGCUGAAUUAUUGACACUUUACUACAUUUACCAUCAUUACCAACUCUUAAAAGGCAAAACUUUAUAAAUGGUAGUGAAAAAUAAAUAAUUCUAUAUGAAAAAUU
This 1776-nucleotide long non-coding RNA is filed under the name Sus scrofa (pig). Its description in RNAcentral is "lncRNA (ENSSSCG00025076556.1)". Lineage: Eukaryota; Metazoa; Chordata; Mammalia; Artiodactyla; Suidae. The record is from RNAcentral.